Molecule: ribosomal RNA, 700 nt
Filed under: Bacillus thuringiensis
Lineage: Bacteria; Bacillati; Bacillota; Bacilli; Caryophanales; Bacillaceae
Description: bacterial SSU rRNA
Rfam family: Bacterial small subunit ribosomal RNA
Source: RNAcentral
UCGAGCGAAUGGAUUAAGAGCUUGCUCUUAUGAAGUUAGCGGCGGACGGGUGAGUAACACGUGGGUAACCUGCCCAUAAGACUGGGAUAACUCCGGGAAACCGGGGCUAAUACCGGAUAACAUUUUGAACCGCAUGGUUCGAAAUUGAAAGGCGGCUUCGGCUGUCACUUAUGGAUGGACCCGCGUCGCAUUAGCUAGUUGGUGAGGUAACGGCUCACCAAGGCAACGAUGCGUAGCCGACCUGAGAGGGUGAUCGGCCACACUGGGACUGAGACACGGCCCAGACUCCUACGGGAGGCAGCAGUAGGGAAUCUUCCGCAAUGGACGAAAGUCUGACGGAGCAACGCCGCGUGAGUGAUGAAGGCUUUCGGGUCGUAAAACUCUGUUGUUAGGGAAGAACAAGUGCUAGUUGAAUAAGCUGGCACCUUGACGGUACCUAACCAGAAAGCCACGGCUAACUACGUGCCAGCAGCCGCGGUAAUACGUAUAUGGCAAGCGUUAUCCGGAAUUAUUGGGCGUAAAGCGCGCGCAGGUGGUUUCUUAAGUCUGAUGUGAAAGCCCACGGCUCAACCGUGGAGGGUCAUUGGAAACUGGGAGACUUGAGUGCAGAAGAGGAAAGUGGAAUUCCAUGUGUAGCGGUGAAAUGCGUAGAGAUAUGGAGGAACACCAGUGGCGAAGGCGACUUUCUGGUCUGUAACUG